Molecule: small nucleolar RNA, 137 nt
Organism: Cavia porcellus (domestic guinea pig)
Lineage: Eukaryota; Metazoa; Chordata; Mammalia; Rodentia; Caviidae
Source: Ensembl
UUGGCCCUGAAUCAAGGCCGGCAGCUUCUUAAUGCUGUUGGUUUCAAGCAGAAGUCUAAAGAGAUGUCAUUCUAUGGUCUGUGGACCAUUUCAGAACUUGGGCAGUGAAAUGGUCAAUUCAUUAGAAAGAAACGGCU